Molecule: ribosomal RNA, 1431 nt
Filed under: uncultured organism
Description: partial small subunit ribosomal RNA
Rfam family: Bacterial small subunit ribosomal RNA
Source: RNAcentral
AACGCUGGCGGCGUGCUUAGCACAUGCAAGUCGAACGGAAAGGCCCUGCUUUUGUGGGGUGCUCGAGUGGCGAACGGGUGAGUAACACGUGAGUAACCUGCCCUUGACUUUGGGAUAACUUCAGGAAACUGGGGCUAAUACCGGAUAGGAGCUCCUGCUGCAUGGUGGGGGUUGGAAAGUUUCGGCGGUUGGGGAUGGACUCGCGGCUUAUCAGCUUGUUGGUGGGGUAGUGGCUUACCAAGGCUUUGACGGGUAGCCGGCCUGAGAGGGUGACCGGCCACAUUGGGACUGAGAUACGGCCCAGACUCCUACGGGAGGCAGCAGUGGGGAAUAUUGCACAAUGGGCGGAAGCCUGAUGCAGCAACGCCGCGUGCGGGAUGACGGCCUUCGGGUUGUAAACCGCUUUCGCCUGUGACGAAGCGUGAGUGACGGUAAUGGGUAAAGAAGCACCGGCUAACUACGUGCCAGCAGCCGCGGUGAUACGUAGGGUGCGAGCGUUGUCCGGAUUUAUUGGGCGUAAAGGGCUCGUAGGUGGUUGAUCGCGUCGGAAGUGUAAUCUUGGGGCUUAACCCUGAGCGUGCUUUCGAUACGGGUUGACUUGAGGAAGGUAGGGGAGAAUGGAAUUCCUGGUGGAGCGGUGGAAUGCGCAGAUAUCAGGAGGAACACCAGUGGCGAAGGCGGUUCUCUGGGCCUUUCCUGACGCUGAGGAGCGAAAGCGUGGGGAGCGAACAGGCUUAGAUACCCUGGUAGUCCACGCUGUAAACGGUGGGUACUAGGUGUGGGGUCCAUUCCACGGGUUCCGUGCCGUAGCUAACGCUUUAAGUACCCCGCCUGGGGAGUACGGCCGCAAGGCUAAAACUCAAAGGAAUUGACGGGGCCCCGCACAAGCGGCGGAGCAUGCGGAUUAAUUCGAUGCAACGCGUAGAACCUUACCUGGGUUUGACAUGGAUCGGGAGUGCUCAGAGAUGGGUGUGCCUCUUUUGGGGUCGGUUCACAGGUGGUGCAUGGCUGUCGUCAGCUCGUGUCGUGAGAUGUUGGGUUAAGUCCCGCAACGAGCGCAACCCUUGUUCACUGUUGCCAGCACGUUAUGGUGGGGACUCAGUGGAGACCGCCGGGGUCAACUCGGAGGAAGGUGGGGAUGACGUCAAGUCAUCAUGCCCCUUAUGUCCAGGGCUUCACGCAUGCUACAAUGGCUGGUACAGAGAGUGGCGAGCCUGUGAGGGUGAGCGAAUCUCGGAAAGCCGGUCUCAGUUCGGAUUGGGGUCUGCAACUCGACCUCAUGAAGUCGGAGUCGCUAGUAAUCGCAGAUCAGCAACGCUGCGGUGAAUACGUUCCCGGGGCUUGUACACACCGCCCGUCAAGUCAUGAAAGUUGGUAACACCCGAAGCCGAUGGCCUAACCGUUGUGGGGGAGCCGUCGAAGGUGGGACUC